RNAcentral lists this ribosomal RNA (371 nucleotides) under Alexandrium margalefii. RNAcentral describes it as "partial Bacterial small subunit ribosomal RNA". It matches the Rfam family "Bacterial small subunit ribosomal RNA", at positions 1 to 374 of the family's 1533-position model. The record is from RNAcentral. Lineage: Eukaryota; Dinophyceae; Gonyaulacales; Pyrocystaceae.
ACGGAGAGUUUGAUCCUGGCUCAGGAUGAACGCUAGCGGCAGGCCUAAUACAUGCAAGUCGAGGGGUAGAUUUGACUUCGGUUGAAUUGAGACCGGCGGACGGGUGCGUAACGCGUAUGCAACCUACCCAUUACAGGGGGAUAGCCCGGGGAAACUCGGAUUAAUACCCCAUAGUUUCCUGUUUUUGCAUAAUUACAGGAAUAAAGAUUUAUCGGUAGUGGAUGGGCAUGCGUCUGAUUAGCUAGUUGGUGAGGUAACGGCUCACCAAGUCUACGAUCUUUAGGGGUUCUGAGAGGAUGAUCCCCCACACUGGUACUGAGAUACGGACCAGACUCCUACGGGAGGCAGCAGUAGGGAAUAUUGGUCAAUGG